AUCCUACUGACGAGUCCCAAAUAGGACGAAACGCGUGUCCUGGAU
RNAcentral lists this non-coding RNA (45 nucleotides) under Schistosoma bovis. The record is from RNAcentral. RNAcentral also lists the same sequence under 1 other name. Lineage: Eukaryota; Metazoa; Platyhelminthes; Trematoda; Strigeidida; Schistosomatidae.